Molecule: long non-coding RNA, 1091 nt
Filed under: Phasianus colchicus (ring-necked pheasant)
Lineage: Eukaryota; Metazoa; Chordata; Aves; Galliformes; Phasianidae
Description: lncRNA (ENSPCLG00000011678.1)
Source: RNAcentral
GGGGAGGGCUGGGGGAGAGAAGGGGGUGGCAGCACCUGAAUUAUUCAGCAAAUGCAAAAUAAAAUGAAAUAAAACGAAAUUCAAGAAACUGCAGAGGGGAGGGAGGUGGAGGGGACCGCGACCCCGCGGCCUAACGCUGAGCAAUGCCCCUCAGAGCCCUGCAGCCCCGCGCUGCUCCACCACCACCCCACCUUCUUAUAUUCUUCCUCCUUUUAUAUCCCUUUUUUUUUUUUUCCCCUCCACCUUUUUUUUUUUUCCCUCCUCUUGUAGGCAGAGGUGCCUGACAGCCCAUCGCCUACCCUGCGUCCCACUGGGGCCCUUCUCCCAUCACUUCUCCUAUCCUCUUUCCCAUCCUUUUCUCCCAAGCUCUUUCUCCUACCCAAUUUCCCAUCUCCUUUUCCAUCCCUUCUCCAUUCUCUUUUCCCAUCCCUUCUCCUGAACAUUUCUCCCAUCUCUUUCUCCUAUCCUUUUUUCCAUCCUCUUUUCCCAUCCUUUUCCCCAUCCCUUUUCUCAUCGUUCUCCCAUUCCUUCUCCCAUCCCUUCUCCUCAUCUCUUUCCCCCAUUCCUUUAACCCAUUCCUUUUCCCAUCCCUUUCCCAUCCCCUGUCCAAUUCCUUUUCCCAUCUCUUUUCCCCAUUCCUUUUUCCCAUCCCUUUUCCGUUCCCCUUCCAUUCUCUUCUUCCAUUUCCUCUCCCAUCCUUCUUCUUCCCAUCCUCUCUCCCACCCCCUCUCUCUGCAGCUGGAGCCCACCCACUGCCCUCACCCCUCCAUCCCACAGCUGACCCAGUGUUCCCAGCACUGGCCAAAGCCAACCCUUACUGGAGGUUCCUCAUGGCCUGGGGCCCCCAAAUCUCUUUGCAGCUCCGUGAGCAGACUUUCACCUCCACGAUGGGAGCGGAGAUGAUGGUUCGGGGUCCGUGGGACAGCUCCUUGCACCCCCCUCCAGGGAUGCUGCAGGUAUUUGGGGACAGCCCUAUGGGGCGCGCUGCGGAUGCCGCAAGGAUCCCGUCGGGUUGCGCCGUGCCAAUAAAGCUCUUUUCGCUGCGGGUUCCCGCAUCCUCUCCUUUGUUCACAGAGAUUUCUCGCUCUUCU